GAUGAACGCUGGCGGCGUGCCUAAUACAUGCAAGUCGAGCGAACGUACGAGAAGCUUUCUUCUCUGAUGUUAGCGGCGGACGGGUGAGUAACACGUGGAUAACCUACCUAUAAGACUGGGAUAACUUCGGGAAACCGUAGCUAAUACCGGAUAAUAUUUUGAACCACAUUGUUCAAAAGUGAAAGAAGGUCUUGCUGUCACUUAUAUAUGGAUCCGCGCUGCAUUAGCUAGUUGUUAAGGUAACGGCUUACCAAGGCAACGAUGCAUAGCCGACCUGAGAGGGUGAUCGGCCACACUGGAACUGAGACACGGUCCAGACUCCUACGGGAGGCAGCAGUAGGGAAUCUUCCGCAAUGGACGAAAGCCUGACGGAGCAACGCCGCGUGAGUGAUGAAGGUCUUCGGAUCGUAAAACUCUGUUAUUAGGGAAGAACAUAUGUGUAAGUAACUGUGCACCUCUUGACGGUACCUAAUCAGAAAGCCACGGCUAACUACGUG
This 497-nucleotide ribosomal RNA is filed under the name uncultured bacterium. RNAcentral describes it as "partial 16S ribosomal RNA". It matches the Rfam family "Bacterial small subunit ribosomal RNA", at positions 28 to 507 of the family's 1533-position model. The record is from RNAcentral.